GCGAGGGUAGCCAAGUUGGCCAAAGGCGCCGGACUUAAGAUCCGGUCCCGCAGGGGUCCAUGGGUUCGAAUCCCAUCCCUCGCA
Molecule: transfer RNA, 84 nt
Filed under: Methanofollis aquaemaris
Lineage: Archaea; Methanobacteriati; Methanobacteriota; Methanomicrobia; Methanomicrobiales; Methanomicrobiaceae
Description: tRNA-Leu
Rfam family: tRNA
About the family: Transfer RNA (tRNA) molecules are approximately 80 nucleotides in length. Their secondary structure includes four short double-helical elements and three loops (D, anti-codon, and T loops).
Source: RNAcentral